Molecule: ribosomal RNA, 300 nt
Filed under: uncultured bacterium
Lineage: Bacteria
Description: bacterial SSU rRNA
Rfam family: Bacterial small subunit ribosomal RNA
Source: RNAcentral
CACGUAAGAAUUUGCCUCUAGGAGGGGACGAACAGCUGGAAACGGGACUGCUAAUAACCCCACUAUGCUUUCGUAGUGAAAUAGGAUUUUUCCGUCCUAGAGAGAAGCUUGCGGGCUGAUUAGCUUGUUUGGUGAGGUAAUGGCUUACCAAGGCGACGAUCAGUAUCUGGUUUGAGAGGAUGAUCAGACACACUGGAACUGAGACACGGUCCAGACUCCUGCGGGAGGGCAGCAGUGGGGAAGUUUCCGUCAAUGGGCGAAAGACCUGACGGAGCAAUCUCGCGUGAGGGAGUGACUGCC